GUUGGAGUAGUAAAGAUUUAAUACGUCGGAUUUAAAAUCCGGAGGCGGGGGGUGCCCCCUUUAACA
Molecule: transfer RNA, 66 nt
Filed under: Dicyathifer mannii
Lineage: Eukaryota; Metazoa; Mollusca; Bivalvia; Myida; Teredinidae
Description: tRNA-Leu
Rfam family: tRNA
About the family: Transfer RNA (tRNA) molecules are approximately 80 nucleotides in length. Their secondary structure includes four short double-helical elements and three loops (D, anti-codon, and T loops). Further hydrogen bonds mediate the characteristic L-shaped molecular structure. tRNAs have two regions of fundamental functional importance: the anti-codon, which is responsible for specific mRNA codon recognition, and the 3' end, to which the tRNAs corresponding amino acid is attached (by aminoacyl-tRNA synthetases). tRNAs cope with the degeneracy of the genetic code in two manners: having more than one tRNA (with a specific anti-codon) for a particular amino acid; and 'wobble' base-pairing, i.e. permitting non-standard base-pairing at the 3rd anti-codon position.
Source: RNAcentral